This 495-nucleotide ribosomal RNA is filed under the name uncultured bacterium. Its description in RNAcentral is "SSU rRNA". It matches the Rfam family "Bacterial small subunit ribosomal RNA", at positions 26 to 507 of the family's 1533-position model. The record is from RNAcentral.
AGAACGAACGCUGGCGGCGUGGAUAAGACAUGCAAGUCGAACGCGACUUAUUUUGUUAGCAAUAACGAGAUAAGUUGAGUGGCGAAAGGGUGCGUAACACGUGGGAAUUUACCAAGAAGUGGGGAAUAGCUCGACGAAAGUCGAAUUAAUACCGCAUGUGAUCGAAAGAUCAAAGUCGGGGACCGCAAGGCCUGACGCUUUUUGAGAAGCCCGCGGCCCAUCAGCUAGUUGGCGAGGUAAAAGCUCACCAAGGCUAUGACGGGUAGCUGGUCUGAGAGGACGACCAGCCACACUGGAACUGAGACACGGUCCAGACACCUACGGGUGGCAGCAGUCGAGAAUUUUUCACAAUGGACGAAAGUCUGAUGGAGCGACGCCGCGUGGAGGAUGAAGGUUUUCGGAUUGUAAACUCCUGUCACUGCAGAACAAGGAUACGUCAGUUAACAGCCGACGUAUUUGAUGGUAUGCGGAGAGGAAGGGACGGCUAACUCUGUG